CACCUCCAGCAUCCCUAGUAUUGGAGGCACUGCCUGCCCAGUGACUAAACGUUAAACGGCCGCGGUAUUCUGACCAUGCAAAGGUAGCAUAAUCAUUUGUUCUCUAAAUAAGGACUUGUAUGAAUGGCCACACGAGGGUUUUACUGUCUCUUACUUCCAAUCAGUGAAAUUGACCUCCCCGUGAAGAGGCGGGGAUAAAUCAACAAGACGAGAAGACCCUAUGGAGCUUUAACUAAGUAACUCAAGGAAAAUAAAUUCAACCACCAAGGGAUAACAACACUCCUUAUGAGUUAACAGUUUCGGUUGGGGUGACCUCGGAGAACAGAAAAUCCUCCGAGCGAUUUUAAAGACUAGACUAACAAGUCAAACCAAACCAUCGCUUAUUGAUCCAAAAACUUGAUCAACGGAACAAGUUACCCUAGGGAUAACAGCGCAAUCCUAUUCAAGAGUCCAUAUCGACAAUAGGGUUUACGACCUCGAUGUUGGAUCAGGACAUCCCGAUGGUGCAACCGCUAUCAAAGGUCCGUUUGUUCAACGAUUAAAGUCCU
This 548-nucleotide ribosomal RNA is filed under the name Ovis aries (sheep). Its description in RNAcentral is "partial large subunit ribosomal RNA". It matches the Rfam family "Bacterial large subunit ribosomal RNA", at positions 1817 to 2597 of the family's 2925-position model. Lineage: Eukaryota; Metazoa; Chordata; Mammalia; Artiodactyla; Bovidae. The record is from RNAcentral.